AUCCGACAAAGCCGGCCCCGCCGGCAACCAGGAUGAUCUUUCCUCGGCUUGCUUUG
RNAcentral lists this small RNA (56 nucleotides) under Sinorhizobium meliloti 2011. Its description in RNAcentral is "putative ncRNA". The record is from RNAcentral. Lineage: Bacteria; Pseudomonadati; Pseudomonadota; Alphaproteobacteria; Hyphomicrobiales; Rhizobiaceae.